GUUGUGGUGAUGAAAGAAGAUAACAUAAAAACAGAAAAAUGGCGAAGAGCACAGAUUCCACAGCCUAAUGUCCUGAGUUUAAAUUCCUACUCUGCCAUUUACCAGGCUGGAAGUCCAAGGUGAAGAUGUUGGCAGGGUUGGCUCCUUCUGAGGCUGUGAGGAAAGGAUCUGUUCCAGACCUCUCUCCUUUACUUUGUGGAUGGCCGCCUUGUCCCUGUGUCCUCACCUAAUCUUCCCUCUGUACGU
Molecule: long non-coding RNA, 246 nt
Filed under: Homo sapiens (human)
Lineage: Eukaryota; Metazoa; Chordata; Mammalia; Primates; Hominidae
Description: HSALNT0116422
Source: RNAcentral